CUACGGGUGGCUCCAGUGGGGAAUAUUGCACAAUGGGCGCAAGCCUGAUGCAGCCAUGCCGCGUGUAUGAAGAAGGCCUUCGGGUUGUAAAGUACUUUCAGCGGGGAGGAAGGGAGUAAAGUUAAUACCUUUGCUCAUUGACGUUACCCGCAGAAGAAGCACCGGCUAACUCCGUGCCAGCAGCCGCGGUAAUACGGAGGGUACAAGCGUUAAUCGGAAUUACUGGGCGUAAAGCGCACGCAGGCGGGUUGUUAAGUCAGAUGUGAAAUCCCCGGGCUCAACCUGGGAACUGCAUCUGAUACUGGCAAGCUUGAGUCUCGUAGAGGGGGGUAGAAUUCCAGGUGUAGCGGUGAAAUGCGUAGAGAUCUGGAGGAAUACCGGUGGCGAAGGCGGCCCCCUGGACGAAGACUGACGCUCAGGUGCGAAAGCGUGGGGAGCAAACAGGAUUAGAUACCCCUGUAGUC
RNAcentral lists this ribosomal RNA (464 nucleotides) under uncultured bacterium. Its description in RNAcentral is "partial 16S ribosomal RNA". It matches the Rfam family "Bacterial small subunit ribosomal RNA", at positions 339 to 795 of the family's 1533-position model. The record is from RNAcentral.